CUGCGCCUGCGGAGGAUGCAGCACCGUCCAACUUCCCCGGCCUUGCAGGCGGCCGGACGGUGUACCGUCCCGUGAACCGCAAUUUUGCGGAUUCAAAAUCCUUCC
RNAcentral lists this non-coding RNA (105 nucleotides) under unclassified sequences. Its description in RNAcentral is "RT-5 RNA". It matches the Rfam family "RT-5 RNA". Rfam says of the family: Clostridium (Firmicutes). Environment (Cow rumen (57)) The record is from Rfam by way of RNAcentral.